RNAcentral lists this unclassified non-coding RNA (330 nucleotides) under soil metagenome. RNAcentral's name for it is "partial contains 5.8S ribosomal RNA, internal transcribed spacer 2, and large subunit ribosomal RNA". The stretch from base 1 to 120 matches the Rfam family "5.8S ribosomal RNA", at positions 35 to 154 of the family's 154-position model. The record is from RNAcentral.
GAUGAAGAACGCAGCGAAAUGCGAUAAGUAGUGUGAAUUGCAGAAUUCAGUGAAUCAUCGAAUCUUUGAACGCACAUUGCGCCCUUUGGUAUUCCUUAGGGCAUGCCUGUUCGAGCGUCAUUUAAACCUUCAAGCUCAGCUUGGUGUUGGGUGACUGUCCGCUUCACCGCGGACUCGCCUCAAAAUUAUUGGCGGCCGGUACAUUGGCUUCGAGCGCAGCAGAAACGCGAACUCGGGCCCGUCGUAUUGGCUCCCAGAAGCUAUCUUCACAAUUUUGACCUCGGAUCAGGUAGGGAUACCCGCUGAACUUAAGCAUAUCAAUACGGAGGA